GAUGAAGAACGUAGCGAAAUGCGAUACUUGGUGUGAAUUGCAGAAUCCCGUGAACCAUCGAGUCUUUGAACGCAAGUUGCGCCCGAAGCCACUAGGCCGAGGGCACCCCUGCCUGGGCGUCACACGUCGUUGCCCCCCCCCCAUCUACUCCUUCGGGAUUGCGGGGGGCGGAUGAUGGCCUCCCGUGCGCCUAGCCGCGCGGUUGGCAUAAAUACCAAGUCCUCGGCGACGCACGCCACGACAAUCGGUGGUUGCGAAACCUCGGUUGCCCGUCGUGUGCGUUCGUCGCGCAUCGAGGGCUCGAAAAAAUGCUCGGCUCCGGCUCGGCUUUCAACGCGACCCCAGGUCAGGCGGGGUUACCCGCUGAAUUUAAGCAUAUCAAUAAGCGGAGGA
RNAcentral lists this unclassified non-coding RNA (393 nucleotides) under soil metagenome. RNAcentral describes it as "partial contains 5.8S ribosomal RNA, internal transcribed spacer 2, and large subunit ribosomal RNA". The stretch from base 1 to 122 matches the Rfam family "5.8S ribosomal RNA", at positions 35 to 154 of the family's 154-position model. The record is from RNAcentral.